UUAGCCAGUCUCAGCCCAAAUGUAAAUACCUCCGCAACAAUGCCGACGAAUAACAGUACAGGAGCAGCAGGACCUUCUCGUCCUUCUACAACCGCUCCCACUGACGAAGCUAAUCCCGUGCUAUCAGCUGCGAGUAGGUGUCUCCUAGCUAUUGAUAGACAAUGGAAAGGAAAGGGUAAGAGGUCAGCGAAAGAAGAGGUUACCCGACUGUACAGCUCUACAAA
Long non-coding RNA from Amphimedon queenslandica, 224 nucleotides. RefSeq lists it as uncharacterized. The record is from RefSeq and is a predicted model, not a curated record. NCBI's taxonomy places the organism in Eukaryota, Metazoa, Porifera, Demospongiae, Haplosclerida, Niphatidae. The transcript has 2 exons.